CACCCUUUUUCCUUCACAAGUUCUUGCCACCUAGGUGACUUCUGGAUUUUGCACCUUCAGUGACCCAGGACACUUCUAUUUACAUGGGCAGGUCUACACCUCUCUGGAAGUCACAUGACUUACUUGUAUCUCUCUGGCUGAAAUACCUCACGCUCCAGCAUUUCCCUACAGCUGUAGUCUAAGUGUGUUAAAAGCCAGCUCAUGAUUUGCUAGGAAACUUCUAGCUGUCAUCAGGGCAUCCUCUAGCAGGCUCCAAAGGACUUGGAGAGUGUAUCUCCAUCCCAGAUAUCAGUGGGGUGGCUCCCUGCAUCUUCAUCUGCAUCUUCAGCAGACAUGGCAUUCCAGAGGCCUUGGCAUGCCCAGGUGGAUCAGUAAAUUGUAACAUGGUUUGUAUGAAUUACUUCAAGGCCCUCAUCCAAGUAAAUUUACGUAAGGAGCAGGAGCUGCUUAGUUUUGCAUAAAGUGUAAAUCUAUACACAAACUCUUUGACUGAUAAACAGUCAGUAACCAGAGUUCUUCAACUGAAAAUCCAACACAGAUAGCAAUAUAUUUGUCUAAUACAGAUUUUACAUUUGUCUUUUCCAUUUCCUUCAAAGUUCUUUGAGGAAUUAGUUUGUGCCUCUUCAGCUGAGAAGGAACUAAGUGCUGACUCUUCUCCCCAAUGUGCUGUAUGGAAGUGUUCUCUGCACAAGACAAAAAUUAAAAACAUUUGUGUCUCACAUAGUAACACAGACAUGAACUGUACAAUACCAGGGACUUCCCCACCACAGGGAAGAAAUCUCUCUUCCUAUUCUCUACACAUUUAAUACAUGGCUUUGAAUCUUUCUUAUUCAAAAUACUCCAAAAUAUUCUAAAUAGGCAUGGAAGACAGAAUGGCUAAGUAACCUGGGGCUCUCAGUCAUUCAUCGUGAUACGGAGUGCUUCAUAAAUCACUUUAUAACGAUAUACACGGAAAGAAGGAAUGGCACUAUCUAUUCUGCAAGAAGAGCAGACAGUCAUGAAGAUUAAAAAAAUCUUGACUGGUUUUAGAUGUCUGAUCUGAGACAUUAUGACUUGUUUCACUGAGGAGUCAGCACCCCAUAAUGCUUUAAUAUUCAAAAUGUCCUUCCCCCUGGCUUCAACUGUGUGAGCUCUGAACUCCUGCAAAUCAUGCCUGCAAGGUAUACAGCUAAGCAUUCAGCAUGGUGACCUCCCUUCCAAACUCUGCUUGGAAUAACUUACUUACCUGCACAAAACAACUCUCUGGGAGAGGCAGGGACAUAAUGCAAAAUCACAAGGGCAAAACUAAACAGCUUUGGCAUGUCCCUUCUUGUGAUCCUAGUCUUACUCUCUUUAUCACAUGCAGCUUGCAGCUGAGGUAGUAAUGCUGCUGGAGAGGAUAGUUUCCUACACUGUAUGUUCCUGAUUCACCACCAGAGCAAAUCUGCACUGUCUAAUGAACUAUAAAAUAACUUCUAUUAAAAUACCCAGGCAGUGAAGUGAUAGUGAAACUUGCUUCUUCACAGAUGCAGCAUUAUAAGGUUGAAUUAAAGUUGAAUUUCCUAACAUUUGGAUACCUGACCUUGCAAUCUCCUGAGUAUUCUUGGUGUGGAGAAAGGCUAGAGGAGGAAGAUGGCAACAUAUAUGUAUAAUUUGCCAAGAACCAAAAAGAAAAAGAGAUCUGUACCUUCAUGAUUUCAAGUAUCUAAACACAGCCUGGACCAGAGCUACCUACAGCCAGAGCUACACAAUCCUGAGGCAGUGUUCCUGGCACUGAGCAUCCUCAGUAGCCCUGCUCAGAAUGCAGAUAAGCAUUUCAGGAGCAGAGAAAUUUAAGCUGCUUUGUGAGCACAAAUAUCUUCUGAGGUUUUAGCUUUUAGGCUCCUUUUAAUCUCUAUUGAGAUAUAUUUAUGAAAAGUAUAGCAUUUUAUACUAUUUCUCAGUCAAACUUGUACAUAUUUUACCAAAAAGAGCAUGCAUAUCUAAAGCAUAUAUAUUUAAAAAUAUUCAAAGAAAAGGCCUUCAGUCUUUUUCACAGCCUGCAUAAAUAUAGUAUUUCCUCUAAAUUUCAAAUGUAGAAUCAUCUCUAUGGUAACAAAACCCAAAUAAUUAAAGUUUAAAAAAAUACAGUAAAGAAAAAUCUCAGUACCAACUAGUGAGGAUUAAUACAAGUAGUUGAAAACCAGGGUUUUAUAAUGAGGACUGUUAGGCAACCCUAAUAACAACAGCCCAUCAACCCUCCUUAUAAAAAUAUUCAGUUCACACAAUUAAAUUUACAAAGCAUAUUACAAAGACACAAAUGAGACAGAAAAGCAGAAGACUGUAAGUUUACAGAGGUCAAUUCAAGAUCUGUUGAAAAGGUGAAAGAACCACAGAGGAUGAAAUGUGAGGGCAGGUAGAAAGGAAGAGAGCACUCAGAGCACAGAAAAGAGUAACAGCUCUAGUAUAUUUUAUUUAAUCAAAGUGACUAUCUGAAAGAAUAAACAACACCAAAGGGAUUUUUCCCUCAUUUUUAAACAAAAUAAGCAAAUCAGGAGGCACACCUUCUGUGUGUUUCCCACCGCAACUUGUGAGCUAGUUUCAAUCCAGACAAGAAAACAUACGGGAAACUGAAACAUUUAAUUUUGUUUCUAUGAAAUAGCCAUCUGGGUAAAGAAAAAAGACCCUACUGCUGUCAUGCCUACUGAAAGGAUGAAACCUGAGUCAUCAGACAUAAGAAAUCCAUUUACCUGCAAAACAAAUCUAUGAAAAAACCCCAUCAAACCUAAGCUUCCUUCACUUCACUGCUCAAUGAACUUUUUACCCUUUUUACUUAGUAAUGCCAUUUGAAGUUACAGUCCACACUGUGACUGUAAUGUGCAUUUUAACAUAAAGGUUCUUUCUGUCUUUAACAUCUUCUUUUUGCAUCUGUUUAUUUCAAAUGAAUUUCCUUCAGGAAAGACCACAUUCUACUUUACCUUGCCAUGGAUGGCACUAGGUGAGACUUAAUCACAAAUUGUGAGAAUCGUGUAAAACCCCUAAUUUGGAGAACUUACCUCUACGUGGUGACAGCCUUUCACAGUGACACACAGAUGACCACGCUGAAAACCAAAACACAUUGCAAAAAAAGGCAGCUAACAAGGAAAGGCUGCUUGUAUUGCCUCUACUCGUACAAAUCUGAAAUGAAACCACUGUUGAGUUUUAUAGACCAGCCUAGAAAAUAAUUCAGUUUGUGUAUAUCUAAGUAUUAUUUCACACUGAGAUCAUUUUAUCCCUAGGCUUUCCCUACACCCACAGUAUUUGAACUCCAAGGUCUCCAAGCAACUCCUUGCUUUAGGGGAGCAUGAGAAUCCUCAUGGCUGGAAGGGACCUCUGGAGAUCAUCUAGUCCAACCUCAAGGAGUUUGCUUUAGGGGAUGGAAAUCAAUAUGGCAAACAUAUUUUCUAAAAGGCCCUCCAUUAACACAGUUUAUGUGAUCCUAUUGCUAUUAAGCUUCAGAGAAGGUGGCACAUGCCUGUUUUCCUGAUGUUUCUCAGAGGCGGUGGUGAUGGAAUAUGAUAUGUUACUAUUCUCUAUUGCAAAAUGGCAAUUGACUGGAAUAUUUACAUCUGGGGAAUUUGAAUUAAAAAAGAAAGAUGUUCUGGAAAUUACGUUUUUAGUUGUGCUUCUUAGGGCAUGUAACAUAAGACAGCGGGCUUUCAGUAUGUAUGAGAAAAUAAAAAAAAAAAAUUAAUUAAAAGAUCAUUCUUCAGCUGUUUAUUGAAAAGGCAGGUUAAAUACAGCACCUAAGUGUAAUCUAUAGUGUUGAAGGUUUACUAUAUGGAUUCUGGAAUUAGGGAAGGUUAGUUUUGUUUGGGUAGGAACUUUUAAGUACAGCAAGGAGAAGUCCAAAAGUGUAACUGAGGUCUUCAAUACAAACAUGAAAUCUGCCUCUGUGUGUCUGCCCAUGAGGGUAAGUAAAAAAGUAAUUAACACAGUACAUGAAAAAAUGAAUGGGUUUUAUUAGUUCUGGUAACAAGAGAUUGUAAGUCUAAGCUUCACUGUGAUCAAGCCAAGUGUAUAAGUUAAUCAAGACCUUCACUGAAGUAUUUCUGUUAACACUUUCAUCUUACCAGUGGGAAUUAUUUAUAAAGCUGCUUUCCACUGGCAGCAUGACAAGGUGAUCAUUAACACAGCACAGACCAUGUGAAGGAACAAAAUUAAAAACAUGCAAAAGUGGCAUUACACUGGUACUGUAAGCAGCUGCCAUAAAUAAUUCUGCUCCUCAAGGUGAUUUCAACAGUCUUGCUCUAAAUCUAAUAAAUCAAAAGCCCUUUAUAAAAAGUCUAGUUCUCAAAAUUUAAAUUUCUAGGCUUCCCAAGGAUAUUUAACUUUACUUUCUCAAGCAUGAGAAAUCAAUUUGUUCAACCAAGCCAGUUCCGAGUUCUCCUUGUAAGCGCUCAUUUGGAACUGAUUAUAGAGAAGGAGGAAAAAAAAAAAAAAAAAAAAAA
Parus major (Great Tit) is the source of this 4448-nucleotide long non-coding RNA. RefSeq lists it as uncharacterized. Lineage: Eukaryota; Metazoa; Chordata; Aves; Passeriformes; Paridae. The record is from RefSeq and is a predicted model, not a curated record. The transcript is spliced from 2 exons.